GAGGUUGUCAAGGUAACUGGCCAGGCUGCCUCUCUGGAAUCCUGUGGUUCGUGAUGACAGGUUCUCCCAACCAGCCCAGCCAAGCUCAGGGAAUCCACUUGAAGAGGCCAAAGAAGCCACAAGUUACUCCAUCCCUGAGUGAACUGCUAGAAGGCUAGAAUCCUAGCCAUAAAAUGGUGCAAUAUUGUGAGCUGCCCUAUGGAGAGGCCAUGUUGCAAGGAACUGUGGGAAGUCCAUAGCUGGUGUGCCCAACAACCUGCAAGGGACUGAAUCUUACCAGCAGCCAUGUACGUGAACUGAGGAGCAAAUCCUUUCUCAGAAGAAUCUUCCGAUAAGACUCAGCUCUAGUUAACACCUUGACUGCAGCCUUGUGGGAGACCUUGAGGAAGAGGCACCCAGCUAAGCCACAGCUGGAUUCCUGCUCCCACAAAAACUAGAGACUCUUGAGAGAUGCAGUAGCAGCAUGAAUCCUCCAAAGCUUUCUGGGGCACCAGGCACGCAGUUCAUCACGAAGCGCAGGCAUCUCAAGAACACGCUCCCUUCUAUUUGCUCACUCUCCUUCCCCACCUCACCCCACUUCCUUUCUCACUCCUACAUUCCUAGGAUUCAGUCUUUAAUAAAGUGUUGGCACAUAAUCUUUA
Long non-coding RNA from Lagenorhynchus albirostris (white-beaked dolphin), 641 nucleotides. RefSeq lists it as uncharacterized. The record is from RefSeq and is a predicted model, not a curated record. The transcript is spliced from 4 exons. Lineage: Eukaryota; Metazoa; Chordata; Mammalia; Artiodactyla; Delphinidae.